UACAGAGGUCUCAAGCGUUGUUCGGAUUCAUUGGGCGUAAAGGGCGCGUAGGCGGCAUGGCAAGUGGAUGGUGAAAUCCCUCGGCUUAACCGAGGAACUGCCGUCCAAACUGCUUCGCUUGAGACCGGGAGAGGUGAGUGGAAUUCCCAGUGUAGCGGUGAAAUGCGUAGAUAUUGGGAGGAACACCAGUGGCGAAGGCGGCUCACUGGACCGGUACUGACGCUGAUGCGCGAAAGCGUGGGGAGCAAACGGG
This 253-nucleotide ribosomal RNA is filed under the name uncultured bacterium. RNAcentral describes it as "partial 16S ribosomal RNA". It matches the Rfam family "Bacterial small subunit ribosomal RNA", at positions 524 to 776 of the family's 1533-position model. The record is from RNAcentral.